This 21-nucleotide non-coding RNA is filed under the name Caenorhabditis elegans. The record is from RNAcentral. Lineage: Eukaryota; Metazoa; Nematoda; Chromadorea; Rhabditida; Rhabditidae.
UCGCAAUAGUGAUUAAUAAAU